GCCAGCUUGGCGUAGCGGUUUGAGCAUUGGACUAUGACUCUGGAGAUCAGGGUUCGAUUCCCCACUGGGCC
Molecule: transfer RNA, 71 nt
Filed under: Phrynosoma platyrhinos (Desert horned lizard)
Lineage: Eukaryota; Metazoa; Chordata; Lepidosauria; Squamata; Phrynosomatidae
Description: tRNA-OTHER
Source: RNAcentral